AAUGAACGCUGGCGGCGCGCCUAAUACAUGCAAGUCGAGCGAGAAGACGUAGCAAUACGUUUGUAAAGCGGCGAACGGGUGAGGAAUACAUGGGUAACCUACCCUCGAGUGGGGAAUAACUAGCCGAAAGGUUAGCUAAUACCGCGUACGCUUCUUGGACUUCGGUUCAGGGAGGAAAGCGAUGCCGAGGGUAUCGCGCUCUUGGAUGGGCUCAUGUCCUAUCAGCUUGUUGGGAGGUAC
This 240-nucleotide ribosomal RNA is filed under the name uncultured bacterium. Its description in RNAcentral is "partial 16S ribosomal RNA". It matches the Rfam family "Bacterial small subunit ribosomal RNA", at positions 29 to 259 of the family's 1533-position model. The record is from RNAcentral.